AACGAACGCUGGCGGCAUGCCUAACACAUGCAAGUCGAACGAGACCUUCGGGUCUAGUGGCGCACGGGUGCGUAACGCGUGGGAACCUGCCCUUAGGUUCGGAAUAACUCCCCGAAAGGGGUGCUAAUACCGGAUAAUGUCUUCGGACCAAAGAUUUAUCGCCUUUGGAUGGGCCCGCGUUGGAUUAGCUAGUUGGUAGGGUAAAAGCCUACCAAGGCGACGAUCCAUAGCUGGUCUGAGAGGAUGAUCAGCCACACUGGGACUGAGACACGGCCCAGACUCCUACGGGAGGCAGCAGUGGGGAAUAUUGGACAAUGGGCGAAAGCCUGAUCCAGCAAUGCCGCGUGAGUGAUGAAGGCCUUAGGGUUGUAAAGCUCUUUUACCCGGGAUGAUAAUAACAGUACCGGGAGAAUAAGCUCCGGCUAACUCCGU
This 432-nucleotide ribosomal RNA is filed under the name uncultured bacterium. RNAcentral describes it as "partial 16S ribosomal RNA". It matches the Rfam family "Bacterial small subunit ribosomal RNA", at positions 29 to 506 of the family's 1533-position model. The record is from RNAcentral.